RNAcentral lists this ribosomal RNA (460 nucleotides) under uncultured bacterium. Its description in RNAcentral is "partial 16S ribosomal RNA". It matches the Rfam family "Bacterial small subunit ribosomal RNA", at positions 338 to 795 of the family's 1533-position model. The record is from RNAcentral.
CCUACGGGAGGCAGCAGUGAGGAAUAUUGGUCAAUGGGCGCGAGCCUGAACCAGCCAAGUAGCGUGAAGGAUGACUUCCCUACGGGUUGUAAACUUCUUUUAUAAAGGAAUAAAGUGAGGCACGUGUGCCUUUUUGUAAGUACUUUAUGAAUAAGGAUCGGCUAACUCCGUGCCAGCAGCCGCGGUAAUACGGAGGAUCCGAGCGUUAUCCGGAUUUAUUGGGUUUAAAGGGAGCGUAGAUGGGUUGUUAAGUCAGUUGUGAAAGUGUGCGGCUCAACCGUAAAAUUGCAAGUGAUACUGGCAGUCUAGAGUACAGUUGAGGUAGGCGGAAUGCGUGGUGUAGCGGUGAAAUGCUUAGAUAUCACGAAGAACACCGAUUGCGAAGGCAGCUUACUAAGCUGCCACUGACAUUGAGGCUCGAAAGUGUGGGUAUCAAACAGGAUUAGAUACCCUGGUAGUC